AUGGUCAGACUGAAACGGAUGGUCAGACGGAUGGUCAGACUAAAACGGAUGGUCAGACGGUCAUAACAGUAAACCCAGGUCCCUGAACCGAAUCUAGGGGUUGAUUCAUGUGCUCAAGCUGAAACAUUUCGAAAUGCUCAUCCGCUGCUCGAUCAGACCAUCACAUCGAAUGUAUAUCAGUGUCAUCACUAAGAUUAUUUACAGAAAAGCGUUACUGUCCAAAGACGCUCCGCUCCGUCUCUGAAAACGUAGAGCUCCAUCGGACACUGGGCUGGCGAGCCUUAAGCUGCGUUGGGCUAGAAAUCAGAAGAAAGUGACAUCUUACCGCUGACUUUAUUGGUCUCAGCUGACCUUCUCCUGCAUUGAAACAAGGAUAAGCAUCGCCACGCAGCUCUUUGGAUCUGUCUUACCUUUGCUUGCUCUUUGGCCAAAGGAGCUAUAGGCGCUAUACUAUUGUCCAAACAUCCGAGCACGGUAAGAACCAACAGCACGAAACAAUUAAAAAAAAUAAAAAAUCCAUCCUCUCCCUAGUGAGCGCAAGAGGCAAAUCCUUAACCACAAGAGCUCAAAAUGGAAGAGAUGACACACCAUUAGACGUGACGAAAAGAAGCUCCUCUUUCUUCUCUUGCACAGCUACUCCUCUUCCUCUCGCCAAUGUUCCGCCAGAUCUUGUUUGCCACUCUGAAGGGCCCAGCCACUUCAAUUUGAGCCCACACCUUAGCAACUUCCUUCCAUUUUGCUAGCUGAAACCGGACUUGGCUGCUUGCUCUAAACCCUAAACUCUGUCCUUUCUUUCCCCUUAUCUUUCUGACCGUUGACUAUCUUGACCAUA
Molecule: long non-coding RNA, 832 nt
Filed under: Selaginella moellendorffii
Lineage: Eukaryota; Viridiplantae; Streptophyta; Lycopodiopsida; Selaginellales; Selaginellaceae
Description: long non-coding RNA (SMOE_LNC000038)
Source: RNAcentral